Molecule: ribosomal RNA, 531 nt
Filed under: uncultured bacterium
Lineage: Bacteria
Description: partial 16S ribosomal RNA
Rfam family: Bacterial small subunit ribosomal RNA
Source: RNAcentral
UGGGGAAUAUUGCACAAUGGGCGCAAGCCUGAUGCAGCAACGCCGCGUGAGGGACGACGGCCUUCGGGUUGUAAACCUCUUUUAGUAGGGAAGAAGCGAAAGUGACGGUACCUGCAGAAAAAGCACCGGCUAACUACGUGCCAGCAGCCGCGGUAAUACGUAGGGUGCGAGCGUUGUCCGGAAUUAUUGGGCGUAAAGAGCUCGUAGGCGGUCUGUCGCGUCUGCUGUGAAAACCCCGAGGCUCAACCUCGGGCCUGCAGUGGGUACGGGCAGACUAGAGUGCGGUAGGGGAGAAUGGAAUUCCUGGUGUAGCGGUGGAAUGCGCAGAUAUCAGGAGGAACACCGAUGGCGAAGGCAGUUCUCUGGGCCGUAACUGACGCUGAGGAGCGAAAGCGUGGGGAGCGAACAGGAUUAGAUACCCUGGUAGUCCACGCCGUAAACGUUGGGCGCUAGAUGUGGGGACCAUUCCACGGUUUCCGUGUCGCAGCUAACGCAUUAAGCGCCCCGCCUGGGGAGUACGGCCGCAAGGCU